RNAcentral lists this long non-coding RNA (825 nucleotides) under Trifolium pratense (red clover). Its description in RNAcentral is "long non-coding RNA (TPRA_LNC004219)". The record is from RNAcentral. Lineage: Eukaryota; Viridiplantae; Streptophyta; Magnoliopsida; Fabales; Fabaceae.
UUAGCAAUCAAUUAUUUUUUUCAAAAAAGGAGGGUUGCAGCUAAAGUGCUGCAACCACCAAAACUAUAUUAAACAAGGAAAAGAUACACAAAAUAGAGGGGGGACCAAACCAAAACCCUCUAAAAGGAAAGAAACCCAUAAUUAGGCAUGCCAAGUUUGUUCGUAACAUGUCUGAUAUUAAGACCAAGCCAGUAGGAUGGUUCUCUGAUAUUAAGACCAAGGUCAAUGUUUUCUAACAUGUCUGCACACUCAUUCCCUUCCCUAAAGAUGUGUUUAAUCAAAAAAUUCAUAUUUGUCAAAAGAGCUUGACAAUUCAGCCAUCUAUUCCUUAGAGACAUGACUUGAAAGCGGAGACUGUCAAAGAUGAAUCAGUCUCAAUCCAUAGGUUGGUCCAAUUAUAAUGGCUAGCUAUCACAAUUGCUCUCAAUUGCUCAGCUUGCUGGUUUCUAAAAAUUCCACCAUAGGAAGAAGAUAUGGAUGUUGAAGCCCCAACCGUGUUGCACUUAGUCCAGUUAAGUAUUGGAGGAAGCCAAAGCACUUCUUUAAUUAUAGGUGCUCUAGGAGGAUGUAUCUCAACUCUGAUUUUUUUUUUAAGUCCUUCAUGGAGUUGUAGAAAGUAUGCUUUGUAUUGUUUCCAGCUAAAGCAACAUUUGCCAAUAUCAAAUUGACUGCAUUUUUCCAGCGAACAUUCUUUCCCUUGAAUCUAGCUUGAUUUCUCACAAACCAAAUUGUAUUAAUGAUGUUAAUCAGUGAAGCCUGCAUAAUAACCUUACACUGAGGAGUCCAUUGUCUGUCACAUUUCUUCCAAAUUUCUUCAACUGAGUU